UCUUCUUCUUCCUCCUCUCUCUCUCUCUCCGUCUAUCGUCUUCGCCGAAAUCCCUAAUUAAAUGAUUCCGACCACCAUCAAUUUCCCGCCAAAGAGAAUGUGGACGGUCGAGAAAUGAAGCUUCAUAGUGAAUUCCUAUCGGCGUAUAGCUGAGAGCUCUCUCGCAAAUCUCCGUCCUUUACCGGCAAGGUGCUAAGUAUACAGCAGCUACACAGAAUCAGUACAAUGUACUGGGAUGACAAUAUAUGGCACUCAUAGUGUCUCUUCGGAUCAAAUAUUGAGGGUUAUGAUGACAGAGGACUCGAACAAUGCCGUAAGCAGCUCUUUCCUUUUGGACGCUGACUCGAGGUAAGCAGAAAUAGAAUAUGUGUUCAGUUUCAUUUCUCAACUAACCCAAGGAAUCAAUGAAAAUGCUGCAUUCCAUUCCACGGUGGAAGACAUAUCAAAAUCAAUGCAACAAGUGGUUGUAAAUGACAUUGAAUCUCCUCAGCUGAACUGUGAAAACUCGGGUUUCGGAUUCUUACUCACACGUAAAGAAGGCAGUGCAUCGUAUAUUCCUCGGGGAGCUCGGUAUGGUCCCAUCAAAUACGAUUGUUUCCGCUGCAUAUACAUAAAUACAUCGUGUGAGCCACUGCAUUCCUAUGGGCGUUUUGUGUAUAUUAUAUUCUAUUCUUUCUUCUUCUUGAUUUGGGGGUUCAGUCUCUGGCCUUUGUAUUUGUGGAAAGGCCGAGUUUAUUUCAUUCUUUGCAUCCCUGUGGUUAUGGCAACUCGCAGGGGUUAUCUGUUUCCCAUUUGCUUUUUUUUUUUUCAUAGAAAGGCUUAGGUGUGUUUGAUGCUUUCCUGCCCAGAGAGGAGAGGAGAGUAAUAUUUUUGUUUUAGUCAAUCAUGUAUUUGUUGGUUUGGGUGAGUCUUUAUAACCAACCCUUUUGGGAAUUUGUAAAUUGUAAUGAAGGAACUAGAGUUUGUUAUCACUAUUAAA
Molecule: long non-coding RNA, 979 nt
Organism: Eutrema salsugineum
Lineage: Eukaryota; Viridiplantae; Streptophyta; Magnoliopsida; Brassicales; Brassicaceae
Exons: 3
Source: RefSeq, a predicted model, not a curated record